UACAGAGGGGGCAAGCGUUGUUCGGAAUUACUGGGCGUAAAGGGCGCGUAGGUGGCCUUCUAAGUUGAACGUGAAAUCCCUGGGCUCAACCCGGGAACUGCGUCCAAGACUGGGAGGCUUGAAUCCGGGAGAGGGAUGCGGAAUUCCAGGUGUAGCGGUGAAAUGCGUAGAUAUCUGGAGGAACACCGGUGGCGAAGGCGGCAUCCUGGACCGGUAUUGACACUGAGGCGCGAAAGCCAGGGGAGCAAACGGG
Molecule: ribosomal RNA, 253 nt
Filed under: uncultured bacterium
Lineage: Bacteria
Description: partial 16S ribosomal RNA
Rfam family: Bacterial small subunit ribosomal RNA
Source: RNAcentral